CAUCAUUACAAUAAUAUUGAUACCUGCUGUAAUCACUGGCAUUCUGGCUUUUCAAUUUCCAGUAUUUGCCUUGGAUCAAGUAGCUCAGUGCUAAUUCAACAGAAGGUCACCCGAUGAAGGGGCUGAUAGCAAAGAGGACAGCUCUACUUAGCAUGCACAGAGGAUUAUGCUUUCCUGGCUUGUAGAGCUAAUCUUUCAAGUUGUCCUUUUUUGACUUUCUCAGUUUAAUCAGUUUAAUCUCAUCUUCUCUCUUUUCUGAUUGCAAGGAUUUUCUGCAGAAACCUUGCCUCCACAAUAAAGACCAUGUGGCAAUUUAUUCUCAUAUUGAUUUCAACAUUUCUGUUCCUCUACCAAUGAGCCAGGAAUCAGGGGAGGGAGAGGAAGGGUUAUGAGGAGGUUGGAGGAAGAAGAGCCAGGAGAAGGAUGGGAGAGGAAUAGAAGCUGAAAGCCCUGGAUCCUUUCAUUAGUCAGAAAGCCACAUACUCCAGUUAUGUGGGAAAACUAAGUACAUCUUAAAUGCACUGGAAGCAGAAAUGACAGCCAAAUGGGAACGUCUCUAUAAUGAUUAAAGUUAAAGACAGCUAUACCAAGGGAUUCUUUCCAUUUCCACACUAAAGAAAUAGAAAGACACACCAGACAGACAGACAAUACACACACACACACACACACACACACACCUUCUGCAAUCAGAGACAUUACACGUGUCUGAGAAUCACACAGUGACAAUCUCCCUCACAGACUGAGUGGAUUUUGCUUUUAUUCUUCCUCUGUCCACACUAAAGGGUGGACAGUAUCUUCCUAAAAGCAGACAAAAAGCCAUCUGCCAAGACACAGGAAAGACAAAAAUGGGAUUGGAUGGUGGGUUCCUGGAGAUAAUGAUAUACUAUAGCCAGCUGAAAAGAACAUCUGUUUUAAGAACUGUGAACUUACAGGAGCCAUUUGUCUGUCUGAUCCAUUCCCAUGACUUCCCUUCCCAUUUUGCACCUUUGUAUUUCUGCACUGAUCAAAUCUAUGCAAAAUAAAGGGACCGAGAAAAACACUAAACAGCCAUAAUUUCUUCUCCUUUCAAAAGGUUACCCGC
This 1081-nucleotide long non-coding RNA is filed under the name Bos indicus x Bos taurus (hybrid cattle). Its description in RNAcentral is "lncRNA (ENSBIXG00000021521.1)". Lineage: Eukaryota; Metazoa; Chordata; Mammalia; Artiodactyla; Bovidae. The record is from RNAcentral.